This 89-nucleotide non-coding RNA is filed under the name Pelagibacterium sp. RNAcentral describes it as "Glycine sequence". It matches the Rfam family "Glycine riboswitch aptamer". From Rfam's summary of the family: This family represents the bacterial glycine riboswitch. Glycine riboswitches usually consist of two metabolite-binding aptamers domains with similar structures in tandem. The record is from RNAcentral. Lineage: Bacteria; Pseudomonadati; Pseudomonadota; Alphaproteobacteria; Hyphomicrobiales; Devosiaceae.
GCCAUGACUGCGGGAGAGACUGGCCCAGCGCCAGCGCCGAAGGAGCAACCGCCCCGGAAACUCUCAGGCAGACGGACCGCAGUCAGGUC